CAAUAGCGUAUAUUUAAGUUGUUGCAGUUAAAAAGCUCGUAGUUGGAUUUCGGAUGGGACUUGCCGGUCCGUCGUUUCGAUGUGCACUGGCCAGUCCUAUCUUGUUGUCGGGGACUAGCUCCUGGGCUUCACUGUCCGGGACUAGGAGCUGACGAGGUUACUUUGAGUAAAUUAGAGUGUUCAAAGCAAGCCUACGCUCUGAAUACAUUAGCAUGGAAUAACACGAUAGGACUCUGGCUUAUCUUGUUGGUCUGUGAGACCAGAGUAAUGAUUAAGAGGGACAGUCGGGGGCAUUCGUAUUUCAUUGUCAGAGGUGAAAUUCUCGGAUUUAUGAAAGACGAACUUCUGCGAAAGCAUUUGUCAAGGAUGUUUNCAUUAA
RNAcentral lists this ribosomal RNA (379 nucleotides) under uncultured eukaryote. Its description in RNAcentral is "partial 18S ribosomal RNA". It matches the Rfam family "Eukaryotic small subunit ribosomal RNA", at positions 592 to 976 of the family's 1831-position model. The record is from RNAcentral.